This 805-nucleotide ribosomal RNA is filed under the name Flavobacterium sp. RNAcentral describes it as "bacterial SSU rRNA". It matches the Rfam family "Bacterial small subunit ribosomal RNA", at positions 56 to 868 of the family's 1533-position model. The record is from RNAcentral. Lineage: Bacteria; Pseudomonadati; Bacteroidota; Flavobacteriia; Flavobacteriales; Flavobacteriaceae.
UGCAGUCGAGGGGUAUAUGUCUUCGGAUAUAGAGACCGGCGCACGGGUGCGUAACGCGUAUGCAAUCUGCCUUUCACAGAGGGAUAGCCCAGAGAAAUUUGGAUUAAUACCUCAUAGUAUAAUCAAGCCGCAUGGUUUAAUUAUUAAAGUCACAACGGUGAAAGAUGAGCAUGCGUCCCAUUAGCUAGUUGGUAAGGUAACGGCUUACCAAGGCAACGAUGGGUAGGGGUCCUGAGAGGGAGAUCCCCCACACUGGUACUGAGACACGGACCAGACUCCUACGGGAGGCAGCAGUGAGGAAUAUUGGACAAUGGGCGCAAGCCUGAUCCAGCCAUGCCGCGUGCAGGAUGACGGUCCUAUGGAUUGUAAACUGCUUUUGUACGAGAAGAAACAUCCCGACGUGUCGGGACUUGACGGUAUCGUAAGAAUAAGGAUCGGCUAACUCCGUGCCAGCAGCCGCGGUAAUACGGAGGAUCCAAGCGUUAUCCGGAAUCAUUGGGUUUAAAGGGUCCGUAGGCGGUUUAGUAAGUCAGUGGUGAAAGCCCAUCGCUCAACGGUGGAACGGCCAUUGAUACUGCUGAACUUGAAUUAUUAGGAAGUAACUAGAAUAUGUAGUGUAGCGGUGAAAUGCUUAGAUAUUACAUGGAAUACCAAUUGCGAAGGCAGGUUACUACUAAUGGAUUGACGCUGAUGGACGAAAGCGUGGGGAGCGAACAGGAUUAGAUACCCUGGUAGUCCACGCCGUAAACGAUGGAUACUAGCUGUUGGGGGCAACUUCAGUGGCUAAGCGAAAGUGAUAAGUAUC